Molecule: long non-coding RNA, 954 nt
Filed under: Sus scrofa (pig)
Lineage: Eukaryota; Metazoa; Chordata; Mammalia; Artiodactyla; Suidae
Description: lncRNA (ENSSSCG00070009600.1)
Source: RNAcentral
AGCUGUUGUAAAAGGAAAAAUUUAAUUUUUUCAAGUAAUUUUUUCAAGCCUAAUCUUCUGUUAUAUAGCAGUGUGACAGCCUGUCUUUGCAAUAUUUAUUCCCUCCUCUAUUCUGUUUGCAACGUUUUGUGGUGUUACAUAGCCUUGAGGGGUGCAGCGGAUGAGAUAAACUACCUGAAUCCCCUUCAGGAAUAAAAGAGCGCUACCCCAGCUCCUGGGAGUCCCGCAAGCAUAUAGCACUCAUGAGCCCCCCUUGAGGAGUUGCCACAGCUUAAGGGAGGCACUGCCCUUCCUUAAAACCAUGUUCCCUUCCCCCUCAACCAUAUCCAAGGACUAGCUGAUGCAGGCUUAGAAAGGUUUAGCCCUCCCUUGCCAACCCCAGAUAUCUCUCAAGGGCAUUGCAUCUUUAUCUUUCCCUACAAGAUUAUGUGAGUUUUCUCCUGGGUCUGCAUCCCAGCUCAGCUUCUCCCUUUGCCCAUCUUUCCUUCCUUCCAAUAGGUGUGGAUCCCAAUAGCACUCUUCAGUGCAGCCCUGGAAAGCAAAUAUGACUGAGCCCUCCACGUUCCACAGAGACAAGAAGCAGGAAAUUGUGUCAUGCUGAAGAACAAGGCCGGAUGGUGUUUUGCAGGUGCUUACCUAGCUGGAGGGAUGUAAAGGAUGAAGUAAAACCUGAGGGCCCACCUACAGGAAUUUCGCACCACUAUGGAGUGGAAAAAACUUGGCUGAGAAUUUUGAGAUGACAGAUAAGACAGGUAAGCUUCAGCGGGAUCAGAAGGCACUUGGGUGUCAGCCAGAAGGUCCAGUUUUUGGAAGGUAACUUCCCUUCCAGGGGUAUGUGGUGUAGAAACAAGUUGCAUCCAAAGUCAAGGGUGCUGCCCAAACAGUGGGUACCUCAGGAAAAUGCUCUGCCUCCUUCUUUACUCACUGGCUAGGUUAUCGAAAACCUCUCAAAUG